Molecule: ribosomal RNA, 492 nt
Filed under: uncultured bacterium
Lineage: Bacteria
Description: partial 16S ribosomal RNA
Rfam family: Bacterial small subunit ribosomal RNA
Source: RNAcentral
AGUGAACGCUGGCGGUAGGCCUAACACAUGCAAGUCGAACGGCAGCACAGUAAGAGCUUGCUCUUACGGGUGGCGAGUGGCGGACGGGUGAGGAAUACAUCGGAAUCUACUUUUUCGUGGGGGCUAACGUAGGGAAACUUACGCUAAUACCGCAUACGACCUACGGGUGAAAGCAGGGGAUCUUCGGACCUUGCGCGAUUGAAUGAGCCGAUGUCGGAUUAGCUAGUUGGCGGGGUAAAGGCCCACCAAGGCGACGAUCCGUAGCUGGUCUGAGAGGAUGAUCAGCCACACUGGAACUGAGACACGGUCCUGACUCCUACGGGAGGCAGCAGUGGGGAAUAUUGGACAAUGGGCGCAAGCCUGAUCCAGCCAUACCGCGUGGGUGAAGAAGGCCUUCGGGUUGUAAAGCCCUUUUGUUGGGAAAGAAAAGCAGCAGGUUAAUACCCCGCUGUUCUGACGGUACCCAAAGAAUAAGCACCGGCUAACUUCGUG